RNAcentral lists this ribosomal RNA (253 nucleotides) under uncultured bacterium. Its description in RNAcentral is "partial 16S ribosomal RNA". It matches the Rfam family "Bacterial small subunit ribosomal RNA", at positions 524 to 776 of the family's 1533-position model. The record is from RNAcentral.
UACGUAGGGCGCAAGCGUUGUCCGGAAUUAUUGGGCGUAAAGAGCUCGUAGGCGGUUUGUCGCGUCUGUCGUGAAAGCUUGGGGCUUAACCCCAAGUCUGCGGUGGAUACGGGCAGACUAGAGGCAGGUAGGGGAGAACGGAAUUCCCGGUGUAGCGGUGAAAUGCGCAGAUAUCUGAAGGAACAUCAGUGGCGAAAGCGACUUCCUGGACCAAUACUGACGCUCAUGUGCGAAAGCGUGGGGAGCAAACAGG